Molecule: transfer RNA, 79 nt
Filed under: Corynebacterium flavescens
Lineage: Bacteria; Bacillati; Actinomycetota; Actinomycetes; Mycobacteriales; Corynebacteriaceae
Description: tRNA-Arg
Rfam family: tRNA
About the family: Transfer RNA (tRNA) molecules are approximately 80 nucleotides in length. Their secondary structure includes four short double-helical elements and three loops (D, anti-codon, and T loops).
Source: RNAcentral
UGCCUCCAUAGCUCAGCGGAUUAGAGCAGUGGGUUUCUACCCCAUGUGUCGCAGGUUCGAUCCCUGCUGGGGGCACCCA